Molecule: ribosomal RNA, 497 nt
Filed under: uncultured bacterium
Lineage: Bacteria
Description: partial 16S ribosomal RNA
Rfam family: Bacterial small subunit ribosomal RNA
Source: RNAcentral
GAUGAACGCUGGCGGCGUGCCUAAUACAUGCAAGUCGAGCGAACAGACGAGGAGCUUGCUCCUCUGACGUUAGCGGCGGACGGGUGAGUAACACGUGGAUAACCUACCUAUAAGACUGGGAUAACUUCGGGAAACCGGAGCUAAUACCGGAUAAUAUAUUGAACCGCAUGGUUCAAUAGUGAAAGACGGUUUUGCUGUCACUUAUAGAUGGAUCCGCGCCGCAUUAGCUAGUUGGUAAGGUAACGGCUUACCAAGGCAACGAUGCGUAGCCGACCUGAGAGGGUGAUCGGCCACACUGGAACUGAGACACGGUCCAGACUCCUACGGGAGGCAGCAGUAGGGAAUCUUCCGCAAUGGGCGAAAGCCUGACGGAGCAACGCCGCGUGAGUGAUGUAGGUCUUCGGAUCGUAAAACUCUGUUAUUAGGCAAGAACAAAUGUGUAAGUAACUAUGCACGUCUUGACGGUACCUAAUCAGAAAGCCACGGCUAACUACGUG